RNAcentral lists this transfer RNA (81 nucleotides) under Dreissena polymorpha. RNAcentral describes it as "tRNA-Lys". The record is from RNAcentral. Lineage: Eukaryota; Metazoa; Mollusca; Bivalvia; Myida; Dreissenidae.
GUUCUGAUGGCCGAGUGGUCUAAGUGGAAGACUUUUAUCCCAGGACUCUAUGGGUCAGAGGUUCGAGCCCUUUUGAGGACU